This 491-nucleotide ribosomal RNA is filed under the name uncultured bacterium. RNAcentral describes it as "partial 16S ribosomal RNA". It matches the Rfam family "Bacterial small subunit ribosomal RNA", at positions 29 to 506 of the family's 1533-position model. The record is from RNAcentral.
AGUGAACGCUGGCGGUAGGCCUAACACAUGCAAGUCGAACGGCAGCACAGUAAGAGCUUGCUCUUACGGGUGGCGAGUGGCGGACGGGUGAGGAAUACAUCGGAAUCUACUUUUUCGUGGGGGAUAACGUAGGGAAACUUACGCUAAUACCGCAUACGACCUACGGGUGAAAGCAGGGGAUCUUCGGACCUUGCGCGAUUGAAUUUGCCGAUGUCGUAUUAGCUAGUUGGCGGGGUAAAGGCCCACCAAGGCGACGAUUCGUAGCGGGUCUGAGAGGAGGAUCAGCCACACUGGAACUGAGACACGGUCCAGACUCCUACGGGAGGCAGCAGUGGGGAAUAUUGGACAAUGGGCGCAAGCCUGAUCCAGCCAUACCGCGUGGGUGAAGAAGGCCUUCGGGUUGUAAAGCCCUUUUGUUGGGAAAGAAAAGAAGCAGGUUAAUACCCCGCUGUUCUGACGGUACCCAAAGAAUAAGCACCGGCUAACUUCGU